GUAAUAGUAGCUUAAUUUAGAGCAUUGGUCUUGUAAGCCAAAGGUAAAAUAUUUUUCUGUUACU
Molecule: transfer RNA, 64 nt
Filed under: Phymorhynchus buccinoides
Lineage: Eukaryota; Metazoa; Mollusca; Gastropoda; Neogastropoda; Raphitomidae
Description: tRNA-Thr
Rfam family: tRNA
About the family: Transfer RNA (tRNA) molecules are approximately 80 nucleotides in length. Their secondary structure includes four short double-helical elements and three loops (D, anti-codon, and T loops).
Source: RNAcentral